AGACGCUUAGCGGCGGCGCUUCCAGAACGCUGCGCUCGGGAGAGCCUCGGGGCCGGAGUCGCGUGGGCGCUGGGGGCGGGGCGGGCGCCCACUGCCUGAGCCGGAUGGCAGAGCCGUCUCUCCGCCAGCUCCCAGCGCUGGCUCGCGUCCCUGGGUUCCGAGCCCAGCGACGCGCAAGCUCCGUGGCCGCCAGCGCCGGCCCUGCCCCCUCGCUGCUGACCUCCGCCGCUUCACGCCGCGGACUCAGCUCCCGGGCUUUGCGGUCGCUGCCGGUGGGAUGGGGAGGGCCGCGAACCUCUGUCCUCUCAGGCAUUCACCGCGUGGCUGGGAGGGCGCCAGGAGGCCGAGGCCGGGGCUGCCAUGCGCUCCCGGUGCCUCACCCCGCAGGUCGGUCCGCCUCGUGGGCUGUGGGGCAGACGACCGGGAAGCCCCGAGAUCUCCAGAUCCUCGAUCGGGACCGAAAAGGCCCUGAACUUGUGCAGUGACUUGCCAUUGAGUCCGGGAGGUUCUGGAGACCUGGGUGACGGAAGAACGCCCAAGGCCGACUGCUGCCCUCAGUUAUCGGGGCUCCACAUGGACCAAACCCAGCUGGCAGUCAGAGGGCAAGAGCAUCUCGAUGCAGCGCAUACAGGCCAAUUCCAGGGUGCAGUGCAGCAUGGAAAAGGAGAAAUGUACCUGAAGAGGCAAAUGAAAGAUAUACAGCGUCACAGGCAAUCUUGCUUCUACUACCAUAAAAAUAGUUUACGUUUCUUAGACACUUAGUCUGUGUCAGGCAUGUCCAUUAUCUCAUUGCAUCUUCCCAUAAACCCGGUUUCCUCCAUUGGACAGAUAAAGAAACUGACUAGUGAAACAGCUUGAGGGACGGAGGUAUGAACAGCUAAGCUGUCAUUUUCCCGUCCAGAGUCUUAUCUGGUGUAUAGUAGUUCCCCUGUGAAUGUUUGUGGAAUGAAUGAAUGAAUGAGGAGCAGACAUAAAUAGGGUUAGAUAGUAAACCUCCCUGAGGAGCCUUAGCGGGGCCUCUUCUCCUUGGGACUCGGAGGGUCUCUGCAGAGAUGAGCCCUGUGCCUUUUGCUGUGUCUCCUGUUGGCCUGUAAUAGGCCAGCUUCUUCAGGUGAAAAGGGCAGGCAUGAAAGUCUGAAAAAAGCCUUGGACUUGUGCUUGGCUUUCCUAGUGGAGGUUAGCUUUUGGAAUUUAAAAAAGAGUAUGGGCUGGGCACAGUGGCUCACACCUGUAAUCCCGAGGUGGGCGGAUCACUUAAGGUCGGGAGUUUGAGACCAGCCUGGCCAACAUGGCAAAACCCCGUCUCUACUAAAAAUACAAAAAUUAGGGCAUGGUAGCGGGCGCCUGUAAUCCCAGCUACUUGGGAGGCUGAGGCAGGAGAAUUGCUUGAGCCCGGGAGGCACAGGUUGCAGUGUGCCAAGAUUGUGCCACUGCACUCCUGCCUGGACAACAGAGUGAGACUCUGUCUCAAAACAAACAAACAAACAAACAAACAAAAGUCUCUCUGAAGCCCUCUUUACCCACACCUUUAUUCCUAAUACCCCACAGUCUGGGCAGGGGCCCAGGGUGCUACCUCUCUCCCUGCUCAACUCCUCCCCACGGCUCCACCCACGAGCUCAGUUCUGCUGAUUGCAUCACUGGUGCUGCUGUUGGAACACAGCAUUCAGGGAUGAGCCAACAACCAGUUUGGUGGGUGAGUUUCACCAGCACCCUGCAAGUGGCCUGCUGUGGAGCAGAAACCUCUGCUGGAAAGCGCCGAGCCAUUUCUUCCAUGCCUUCCUCUUGCUUUACUGCCGUGUCCCCUUUUUACUGGCCUCUUCUUUCCUGGAGGGUCCCAUGAAGUCUUUCAGUUGUUGUUCAUAAUCUAAGCCCCUCAAGCAUGGAAAAGGAACCUGAUAUGUAUUGAUCACAUGCUAUGUGCCUGACAUGCUGUGCCAGAUGCUUCAUAUCUAGAUUUCAUUUAAUUUCAUAGCAAUUUAUUAGGUAAAAAAGUCAGAGAGCUCACAGCUGAGAAAACUAAGGCUGGUUAGGGAACAUGUGGAAUAUUACACAGCUGUUAAGAGGAGAGCUGGCAUUUGAACUCUGGUCUAAUCCCAAAGUCCAUUCUAACACCCUUCACACUCAGAAUAAACCCUGUGCCUGGGCAACAGUGAGACCCCCAUCUCUACAAAAAAUUAAAAACAGAUUAGCAGGGCGUGGCCGGGUGCAGUGGUUGAGGCUGCAGUGAGCCGUGAUCAGGCCACUGCGCUCCAGCCUGGGCGACAUAGCAAGACCCCGUCUUGAAAAAAAAAAAAGAAAGAAUAAACCCUGCUGCUGCAGUAUUUGGGUUUAUCUUAUACCUUUGCAAGUCAGAGCCUUUUCCUUGUGCCGUUACUUGUAUCCCCGGGGCUCGAGUGUGUGGAAGGUGCUGUUUCAGCUCACCCUUGUGGGUUUCCACGUGGAGUGCCUAACAUUUCAUUCCAUCCAUCGUCUGUCAUUCCAUCCAUCUAUUCCUUUGCUGCUGAUGGCUCCUCCAUCUGGGAGGCCGUUUCACCGGUUUCUGAAUGGCAACAUCCAAGCCCAGUUCCAGUGCCACCUCCCCCAUUGUGUCCCUUGGAUCUCAUUUGCCUCCAGAUUCCCAAACUUACCUUUGUUACCCUUCCCUGAAGGAUUUCUUACGUUACUCCUUGUGUUACAGUAAUUUGGGCAUGUGAUUUAUUUUCUUUGUUGUGGGGGACAGGGAUUAUUCUGCAAUAGUACUUGAAUCUUUCCAGGACCUUAAACUAGCAAGCCGCCAGUGAAUGCACGCAUCAGGGGAGCCCUUUAUGGGGAAAAGGGUUUGUAUAGUGAAGAUAUCUUCCUCUACUUUACAUGUUAACUUUGCUUAAAAACAAUAUUCAGCUGUAUGAUAAAUGUCCUGGUUGAGUCUAGCGUGAUGGUAGGGCACUCCUAGGGAGAAAUUCCUUGUGUUUUCCUUGAGAGUUUCAAAUUUGUGUUUUUGGGUUUUUUUUUGUUUUGUUUUUUUUUUUUUGAGACAGGGUCUCACUCUGUCACCCAGGCUGGAGUGCAGUGGCAUGAUCUUGGCUCACUGCAACUUCCACCUCCCAGGCUCAAGCGAUUCUCCUGCCUCAGCCUCCUGAGUAGCUGGGACUACAGGCACACGCCACCAUGCCCAGCUACUUUUUGUAUUUUUAGUGGAAACAGGGUUUCACCAUGUUGGCCAGGCUGCUCUCGAACUCCUGACCUCAGGUAAUCCACCCGUCUUGGCCUCCCAGACUGCUGGGAUUGGAGGCAUAAGCCACUGUGUCUGGCAAGAGAGCUUUGAAUUUGGGGAAGUGAAGAGACACUAAUGAGGGCAGGCAGUGGGGAACAGGCUGCUUAGGUAAAAGGCCCCCCAGACCCUACAUAUUCGACUCUCCAGAUGGGGCCCAGCAGAGUGGUGAGCUGUGUCCCUAGACUUUUAUCACAUGCUGCAGCUUUUCUGAGGCCAUCACUUGUGCUCCCAAGUCCCUUUAUGUUUGUUCUGAUAGACGAAGGCCAUCACUCCUCCUGCUUUCACCACUGGGGAUGAGGGAAACCUUGGCCAUAGUGGCAGUCCUCCCUCCCUGGGACCCCAGUCAGUUCAGAGCACCUAUUUCCCAUAACACCCAACACAGACAGAUGCUAGGGCCCUUCCGCAGAGAACGGGUGUGGGCUGGGAUGACUCACCUGCUCUGUGGCCGCCUACAGUGCAGCUCAAAGCCCUUGGGAAUCAAAACACUUCCCUAGGACAAGCACAGAGGCUCUCCUUAGAGACAGCAGUUUGGGUUCCUGCUUCUGCAAAUGCCUGUCACCGUACUGAUGUUUCAAAGUCCAGGUCAGUGAGGAGCCAUCCAGCUGAAUGGCCAUGGAGAACAGGCAGAAUCAGCAGCUUCAGAAAGCAGUGCCCUGAUCUGGGUAUCAGAUGACCCAGGUCUCACCUGGGCUCUUCCAGGAGCUCACUGUGUGUUUAUAAAGGAAGAGUAUUCAAUUUUUUUUUUUUUUGAGAUGGAGUUUCGUUCUUGUUGCCCAGGCUGGAAUGCAAUUGCACGAUCUUGGCUCACUGCAACAUGCACCCUCCGGGUUCAAGCAAUUGUCUUGCCUCAGCCACCUGAGUAGCUGGGAUUACAGGUGCAUGCCACCACGCCUAGCUAAUUUUUAUAUUUUUAGUAGACGGGGUUUCACCAUGUUGGCCAGGCUGGUCUCAAACUCCUGACCUCAGGUGAUCCACCUGCCUCGACCUCCCAAAGUGCUGGGAUUACAGGUGUGAGCUACCACGCCUAGUCUAAGAGCAUUCAUUCUUUAAGUAAACUUUUUUUUUUUUUUUUUUUUUUUUUGAGACAGAGUCUUGUUUUGUUACCCAGGCUAGAGUGAAGUGAUGCCAUCAUGGGCUCAAGCGAUCCUCCCACCUCAGCCUCUUCAAGAAGCUGGGACUACAGUCCCAUUACACCUGGC
Molecule: long non-coding RNA, 4452 nt
Filed under: Homo sapiens (human)
Lineage: Eukaryota; Metazoa; Chordata; Mammalia; Primates; Hominidae
Description: HSALNT0384275
Source: RNAcentral